Molecule: ribosomal RNA, 495 nt
Filed under: uncultured Sphingobacteriales bacterium
Lineage: Bacteria; Pseudomonadati; Bacteroidota; Sphingobacteriia; Sphingobacteriales
Description: bacterial SSU rRNA
Rfam family: Bacterial small subunit ribosomal RNA
Source: RNAcentral
CCAGCCCGCUCAGAAACUCAAGGAAUUGACGGGGGCCCGCACAAGCGGUGGAGCAUGUGGUUUAAUUCGAUGAUACGCGAGGAACCUUACCUGGGCUCAAAUGUAUGUUGACGUAUUCUGAAAGGGAUACUUCUUCGGACAAUAUACAAGGUGCUGCAUGGUUGUCGUCAGCUCGUGCCGUGAGGUGUCGGGUUAAGUCCCAUAACGAGCGCAACCCCUAUCAUUAGUUGCCAUCAGGUCAAGCUGGGGACUCUAAUGAAACUGCCUACGCAAGUAGUGAGGAAGGUGGGGAUGACGUCAAAUCAGCACGGCCCUUACGUCCAGGGCUACACACGUGCUACAAUGGCCGGUACAAAGGGCAGCUACCUGGUGACAGGAUGCUAAUCUCCAAAGUCGGUCUCAGUUCGGAUCGGAGUCUGCAACCCGACUCCGUGAAGUUGGAUUCGCUAGUAAUCGCGCAUCAGCCAUGGCGCGGUGAAUACGUUCCCGGGCCUU